This 473-nucleotide ribosomal RNA is filed under the name uncultured organism. Its description in RNAcentral is "partial 16S ribosomal RNA". It matches the Rfam family "Bacterial small subunit ribosomal RNA", at positions 335 to 799 of the family's 1533-position model. The record is from RNAcentral.
ACUCCUGCGGGAGGCAGCAGUGGGGAAUAUUGCACAAUGGGCGCAAGCCUGAUGCAGCCAUGCCGCGUGUAUGAAGAAGGCCUUCGGGUUGUAAAGUACUUUCAGCGGGGAGGAAGGCGAUAAGGUUAAUAACCUUGUUGAUUGACGUUACCCGCAGAAGAAGCACCGGCUAACUCCGUGCCAGCAGCCGCGGUAAUACGGAGGGUGCAAGCGUUAAUCGGAAUUACUGGGCGUAAAGCGCACGCAGGCGGUCUGUCAAGUCGGAUGUGAAAUCCCCGGGCUCAACCUGGGAACUGCAUUCGAAACUGGCAGGCUAGAGUCUUGUAGAGGGGGGUAGAAUUCCAGGUGUAGCGGUGAAAUGCGUAGAGAUCUGGAGGAAUACCGGUGGCGAAGGCGGCCCCCUGGACAAAGACUGACGCUCAGGUGCGAAAGCGUGGGGAGCAAACAGGAUUAGAAACCCUAGUAGUCCCAUG